AUUGAACGCUGGCGGCAGGCCUAACACAUGCAAGUCGAGCGGAUGAAGGGAGCUUGCUCCUGGAUUCAGCGGCGGACGGGUGAGUAAUGCCUAGGAAUCUGCCUGGUAGUGGGGGAUAACGUCCGGAAACGGGCCCUAAUACCGCAUACGUCCUGAGGGAGAAAGUGGGGGGUCUUCGGACCUCACGCUAUCAGAUGAGCCUAGGUCGGAUUAGCUAGUUGGUGGGGUAAAGGCCUACCAAGGCGACGAUCCGUAACUGGUCUGAGAGGAUGAUCAGUCACACUGGAACUGAGACACGGUCCAGACUCCUACGGGAGGCAGCAGUGGGGAAUAUUGGACAAUGGGCGAAAGCCUGAUCGAGCCAUGCCGCGUGUGUGAAGAAGGUCUUCGGAUUGUAAAGCACUUUAAGUUGGGAGGAAGGGCAGUAAGUUAAUACCUUGCUGUUUUGACGUUACCAACAGAAUAAGCACCGGCUAACUUCGUG
This 484-nucleotide ribosomal RNA is filed under the name uncultured bacterium. RNAcentral describes it as "partial 16S ribosomal RNA". It matches the Rfam family "Bacterial small subunit ribosomal RNA", at positions 30 to 507 of the family's 1533-position model. The record is from RNAcentral.